AAUCAACGCUGGCGGCGUGCCUCAGACAUGCAAGUCGAACGAUUAAAGCUCUCUUCGGAGAGUGUAUAGAGUGGCGCACGGGUGAGUAACACGUAAGUAAUCUACCUUCGAGUGGGGAAUAACGUCCGGAAACGGACGCUAAUACCGCAUAAUGCAGCGGCAUCGCAAGAUGACAGUUGUUAAAGAUUUAUCGCUUGAAGAGGAGCUUGCGGCAGAUUAGCGUAGUUGGUAAGGU
RNAcentral lists this ribosomal RNA (235 nucleotides) under uncultured bacterium. RNAcentral's name for it is "partial 16S ribosomal RNA". It matches the Rfam family "Bacterial small subunit ribosomal RNA", at positions 32 to 258 of the family's 1533-position model. The record is from RNAcentral.